GAUGAACGCUGGCGGCGUGCCUAAUACAUGCAAGUCGAGCGAACGGACGAGAAGCUUGCUUCUCUGAUGUUAGCGGCGGACGGGUGAGUAACACGUGGAUAACCUACCUAUAAGACUGGGAUAACUUCGGGAAACCGGAGCUAAUACCGGAUGAUAUUUUGAACCGCAUGGUUCAAAAGUGAAAGACGGUCUUGCUGUCACUUAUAGAUGGAUCCGCGCUGCAUUAGCUAGUUGGUAAGGUAACGGCUUACCAAGGCAACGAUGCAUAGCCGACCUGAGAGGGUGAUCGGCCACACUGGAACUGAGACACGGUCCAGACUCCUACGGGAGGCAGCAGUAGGGAAUCUUCCGCAAUGGGCGAAAGCCUGACGGAGCAACGCCGCGUGAGUGAUGAAGGUCUUCGGAUCGUAAAACUCUGUUAUUAGGGAAGAACAUAUGUGUAAGUAACUGUGCACAUCUUGACGGUACCUAAUCAGAGAGCCACGGCUAACUACGUGCCAGCAGCCGCGGUAAUACGUAGGUGGCAAGCGUUAUCCGGAAUUAUUGGGCGUAAAGCGCGCGUAGGCGGUUCUUUAAGUCUGAUGUGAAAGCCCACGGCCCAACCGUGGAGGGUCAUUGGAAACUGGAAAACUUGAGUGCAGGAGAGGAAAGUGGAAUUCCAUGUGUAGCGGUGAAAUGCGCAGAGAUAUGGAGGAACACCAGUGGCGAAGGCGACUUUCUGGUCUGUAACUGACGCUGAUGUGCGAAAGCGUGGGGAUCAAACAGGAUUAGAUACCCUGGUAGUCCACGCCGUAAACGAUGAGUGCUAAGUGUUAGGGGGUUUCCGCCCCUUAGUGCUGCAGCUAACGCAUUAAGCACUCCGCCUGGGGAGUACGACCGCAAGGUUGAAACUCAAAGGAAUUGACGGGGACCCGCACAAGCGGUGGAGCAUGUGGUUUAAUUCGAAGCAACGCGAAGAACCUUACCAAAUCUUGACAUCCUUUGACAACUCUAGAGAUAGAGCCUUCCCCUUCGGGGGACAAAGUGACAGGUGGUGCAUGGUUGUCGUCAGCUCGUGUCGUGAGAUGUUGGGUUAAGUCCCGCAACGAGCGCAACCCUUAAGCUUAGUUGCCAUCAUUAAGUUGGGCACUCUAAGUUGACUGCCGGUGACAAACCGGAGGAAGGUGGGGAUGACGUCAAAUCAUCAUGCCCCUUAUGAUUUGGGCUACACACGUGCUACAAUGGACAAUACAAAGGGCAGCGAAACCGCGAGGUCAAGCAAAUCCCAUAAAGUUGUUCUCAGUUCGGAUUGUAGUCUGCAACUCGACUACAUGAAGCUGGAAUCGCUAGUAAUCGUAGAUCAGCAUGCUACGGUGAAUACGUUCCCGGGUCU
RNAcentral lists this ribosomal RNA (1372 nucleotides) under uncultured bacterium. RNAcentral describes it as "bacterial SSU rRNA". It matches the Rfam family "Bacterial small subunit ribosomal RNA", at positions 28 to 1381 of the family's 1533-position model. The record is from RNAcentral.